RNAcentral lists this unclassified non-coding RNA (232 nucleotides) under Glomus sp. RNAcentral's name for it is "partial contains 5.8S ribosomal RNA and internal transcribed spacer 2". The stretch from base 1 to 72 matches the Rfam family "5.8S ribosomal RNA", at positions 84 to 154 of the family's 154-position model. Lineage: Eukaryota; Fungi; Glomeromycota; Glomeromycetes; Glomerales; Glomeraceae. The record is from RNAcentral.
GUGAAUCAUCAAAUCUUUGAACGCAAAUUGCACUCUCCGGUUUUCCGGGAGAGUAUGCCUGUUUGAGGUUCUGUUUACAAAAUACUCGAGGCUGCUGCUGUGGUGGCGCUCCGGUAUUAGGUCAUCUUCCAACUUUCGGGGUUGUAAGCGACAUAAAAUUUUUCUUACGAUUUCUACGAACGUGUCUAAGAAUUUUUCUUGUCCGUUCGCGACAUCGAAAUCAUAUUAGGUG